This 71-nucleotide transfer RNA is filed under the name Marmota marmota marmota (Alpine marmot). It matches the Rfam family "tRNA". Rfam says of the family: Transfer RNA (tRNA) molecules are approximately 80 nucleotides in length. Their secondary structure includes four short double-helical elements and three loops (D, anti-codon, and T loops). The record is from Rfam by way of RNAcentral. Lineage: Eukaryota; Metazoa; Chordata; Mammalia; Rodentia; Sciuridae. RNAcentral also lists the same sequence under 1 other name.
GUGAUUGUAGCUCAGUGGUAGAGCACUUGCCUAGCACAUGUGAGACACUGAGUUUGAUUCUCAGCACCACA